UUCUGGCUCAGGAUGAACGCUGGCGGCGUGCUUAACACAUGCAAGUCGAACGGAGUUUUUAACGGAAGUUUCGGAUGGAAGUUUAGAAACUUAGUGGCGGACGGGUGAGUAACGCGUGGGUAACCUGCCUCAUACAGGGGGAUAACAGUUAGAAAUGACUGCUAACACCGCAUAAUAUAGCGAAACCGCAUGAUUUUUGCUAUCAAAUAUUUAUAGGUAUGAGAUGGGCCCGCGUCUGAUUAGCUAGUUGGUGGGGUAAAAGCCUACCAAGGCGACGAUCAGUAGCCGGCUUGAGAGAGUGACCGGCCACAUUGGGACUGAGACACGGCCCAAACUCCUACGGGAGGCAGCAGUGGGGAAUAUUGGACAAUGGGGGAAACCCUGAUCCAGCGAACCGCCGCGUGAGUGAAGAAGUAUUUCGGUAUGUAAAGCUCUAUCAGCAGGGAAGAUAAUGACAGUACCUGACUAAGAAGCCCCGGCUAACUACGUGCCAGCAGCCGC
This 501-nucleotide ribosomal RNA is filed under the name uncultured bacterium. RNAcentral describes it as "bacterial SSU rRNA". It matches the Rfam family "Bacterial small subunit ribosomal RNA", at positions 17 to 518 of the family's 1533-position model. The record is from RNAcentral.